This is a non-coding RNA of Ictidomys tridecemlineatus (thirteen-lined ground squirrel), 72 nucleotides long. NCBI's taxonomy places the organism in Eukaryota, Metazoa, Chordata, Mammalia, Rodentia, Sciuridae. The record is from Rfam.
AGGGUUGUGGCUCAGUUGUAGAGCACUUGCCUAGCAUGCAUGAAGCAUUGGGUUCAAUCCCCAGCACCACAU